Molecule: long non-coding RNA, 2098 nt
Organism: Xiphophorus hellerii (green swordtail)
Lineage: Eukaryota; Metazoa; Chordata; Actinopteri; Cyprinodontiformes; Poeciliidae
Exons: 2
Source: RefSeq, a predicted model, not a curated record
GCUUUUCUCUUGUGGGACCUGUGGAAAAAGGUUCAGUCAAAAAAAGCAUUUAACUUCUCACAUGUGGACUCAUACAAGUGAGAAGGCAUUCUCUUGUGGGACCUGUGGAAAAAGUUUCCAUAUAAAACGUUAUUUAAAUGAUCAUAUGAGGACUCAUACAGGUGAAAAGCCUUUCUCUUGUGGGACUUGUGGAAAAUGUUUCCACCAAAAAAACAUUUUAACUUCUCACAUGAGGAUUCAUACAGAUGAGAAGGCAUUUUCUUGUGGGUUUUGUGGGAAACGUUUCCGUUGGCAAAGCAUUUAACUCGUCACAUCAUGCUUCACACAGGUCAGAAGCCUUUUGUAUGUGGGACUUGUGGAAAAAGUUUCCGUUGGCAAAGCAAUUUAACUGGUCACAUGAAGACUCAUACAGGAGGAUCAGAAUAAUCUGACCCUCAAGUACCAAAACACACUAACUCACAGCUUGGAAGCAGAGUAAUUACAGCUGGGUAACAUUUCUAUAAUGUAGCAGCUUGGAGAAGAAAACCAGUUGAAAUAGGACGUUUAUCUAACAACCAAAACUUUCACUUUAUUCUGUCAGUUUCAUCUUUUCAUUUAAAAUGGUUUUUAUCUUGAAAUAACAAUGGAUGUGAAUGUUUUCAGAUUUAGACUUGUAAAGCUGUUAUUGUAUGGCUAUUCCUUAUGCUUUGUUUUAUUUCUUUAAUUUUGGUCAGAGGAUGCAUGUUAGCUGUAACUAUAUGAACUGUUGGCGUAGGUAUAUUUUUGGGCCUAAACAAUUCCUCGAGUGAUUUGAGUACCUCGAUUAUUAAAAUUCCUCGAGGAAAAUGUAUCUGCCUCUAAGGUUCAUUAAAUUGUAUUUUAUUAUGUAAUGCACGGUUUUCCGGCUGGGUCGUUAUUUGCAUUGCGCAGCACUCUCACUUCCGCCUGAGUUGUGGACGAACGCGAACCUUAGCAGCAUAAGGUCCAAUUUUGAAGUUCGGCCUGGGAGGAUUUUACUGAUUCAUGAUAAUGUCUGGGUUUUUGUGCAUCGGGGGACCAAUGAGCAUCCCUUAAAUGUCGGGAGCGUUCCCUGGAGAACGGCAGCUGUUCUCCGGGAGCUGCUUGUUCAGAGCGACCAGCAUGGCGGGAUUAUUUAUACAUGUGAGCAGAUAGACUGAACACUGCGGGCGGCUGUGCUUUACACGAGUAGCUUUACGGACGAACCAGAAAAUAAAUUUCCUAUCAUCCCAGUCGCCACUAACGGGUGGCGUUGCAUACCUGGUAGAUGUUUGUGUGUGUGACGAACGACGGUGCCAAAUCCCGUCGUUGUGCUGAACGUAAACUAUAAAUGUCUGGGCAAUAAUACAUAAACCAAAAACCGGAGUAUAGACAUUUUUUAUAAGUGUAUUUGUGAGCCUGCCUCUUUAUUAUUAAAAUGAAUAUAAUUUCAGAUUCUUGUAUAACUUUUCUUCAGGUUAACUUGGAAAGUGAGUUAUUAUUGUUACAAGUUAAUUUUCUAAACUACAGAAAAGUUAUUGUUAGGGAAGUUCAAAUGUGAAAAAUUAUACUGUUGAUAUGCAAUAGUGAUACUGCUGUUAGAUUUACCAAUGUUUUUUUUUAUCUGACUACUUGAUUAAUUGUAAGAGUAAUCGAUGGAUUACUCGAUUACUAAAAUAUUUGUUUACAACAGCCCUAGUAUAUUUUGAUUACAUUUUUCACUCUAAAGUUGAAUCUAAAUAUAUAUUACUUUUUCAUUACUUUCUCGAGUUUUUGAUUCAGGGAGAAAAUACUGUUGAUCAUAUGAUGGCAACAAUGCAGAUGUUUCUACGUUUUGCUAAGUUGUGAUAAAACCAAAGAUGUUUUCCCUUUUUUUGUUAAAACAUCUGCAUCGACUUUAUUCUCGCUAAGUUUACUGUAAAUUGAAGUUGUAUUUUAUUCAUGUGACUUUUUUAAAAUCUAUAAAACAGUAUUUGUUUGAGAAUUUUUUUAUUGUUUAGGAUGUUAGAAAAUGUAUUGGUGAUAUAGAUUCAAUUUCAGAUAGAAAUGUGACCAGCAAAAACUGUUUCCAUGCCAUUCUUUUAUAAUAAAGUUUUUAUAAUAAAGUGUUUUUUAACCAUUA